AAAAUAACUUGUUAGGAGAGGCUCCUAAAUGAACACAGGCUAUUGCCCAAAAACGUCCAGAGACGCCAAUGGGUAGAACAGGCAUGAUCGGAUUAAGGUCUGCUUAAGAUAGCUGAUUCAAUUACUUGGAUCUACGUCAUUUAGUGCUAAAACCCACACGAGGAGUUUAUAGU
The sequence is a regulatory RNA element, 173 nucleotides long. It matches the Rfam family "M-box riboswitch aptamer (ykoK leader)". Rfam says of the family: M-box riboswitch, also know as ykoK leader is described as a metaloregulatory RNA that sense divalent metals and function as a genetic control element of genes related to divalent metal transport in bacteria. It was first reported upstream of the B.subtilis ykoK gene and genes with related functions in other bacteria. The record is from Rfam.